RNAcentral lists this ribosomal RNA (478 nucleotides) under uncultured bacterium. Its description in RNAcentral is "partial 16S ribosomal RNA". It matches the Rfam family "Bacterial small subunit ribosomal RNA", at positions 30 to 523 of the family's 1533-position model. The record is from RNAcentral.
AUUGAACGCUGGCGGCGUGCUUAACACAUGCAAGUCGAGCGAUGAAGCUCCUUCGGGAGUGGAUUAGCGGCGGACGGGUGAGUAACACGUGGGUAACCUGCCUCAUAGAGGGGAAUAGCCUUUCGAAAGGAAGAUUAAUACCGCAUAAGAUUGUAGCUUCGCAUGAAGCAGCAAUUAAAGGAGUAAUCCGCUAUGAGAUGGACCCGCGUCGCAUUAGCUAGUUGGUGAGGUAACGGCUCACCAAGGCGACGAUGCGUAGCCGACCGGAGAGGGUGAUCGGCCACAUUGGGACUGAGACACGGCCCAGACUCCUACGGGAGGCAGCAGUGGGGAAUAUUGCACAGUGGGGGAAACCCUGAUGCAGCAACGCCGCGUGAGUGAUGACGGUCUUCGGAUUGUAAAGCUCUGUCUUCAGGGACGAUAAUGACGGUACCUGAGGAGGAAGCCACGGCUAACUACGUGCCAGCAGCCGCAGUAA